This 655-nucleotide ribosomal RNA is filed under the name Escherichia coli. RNAcentral describes it as "partial 23S ribosomal RNA". It matches the Rfam family "Bacterial large subunit ribosomal RNA", at positions 612 to 1266 of the family's 2925-position model. The record is from RNAcentral. Lineage: Bacteria; Pseudomonadati; Pseudomonadota; Gammaproteobacteria; Enterobacterales; Enterobacteriaceae.
AUAAUGGGUCAGCGACUUAUAUUCUGUAGCAAGGUUAACCGAAUAGGGGAGCCGAAGGGAAACCGAGUCUUAACUGGGCGUUAAGUUGCAGGGUAUAGACCCGAAACCCGGUGAUCUAGCCAUGGGCAGGUUGAAGGUUGGGUAACACUAACUGGAGGACCGAACCGACUAAUGUUGAAAAAUUAGCGGAUGACUUGUGGCUGGGGGUGAAAGGCCAAUCAAACCGGGAGAUAGCUGGUUCUCCCCGAAAGCUAUUUAGGUAGCGCCUCGUGAAUUCAUCUCCGGGGGUAGAGCACUGUUUCGGCAAGGGGGUCAUCCCGACUUACCAACCCGAUGCAAACUGCGAAUACCGGAGAAUGUUAUCACGGGAGACACACGGCGGGUGCUAACGUCCGUCGUGAAGAGGGAAACAACCCAGACCGCCAGCUAAGGUCCCAAAGUCAUGGUUAAGUGGGAAACGAUGUGGGAAGGCCCAGACAGCCAGGAUGUUGGCUUAGAAGCAGCCAUCAUUUAAAGAAAGCGUAAUAGCUCACUGGUCGAGUCGGCCUGCGCGGAAGACGUAACGGGGCUAAACCAUGCACCGAAGCUGCGGCAGCGACGCUGAUGCGUUGUUGGGUAGGGGAGCGUUCUGUAAGCCUGUGAAGGUGUGCUGUGA